This 400-nucleotide unclassified non-coding RNA is filed under the name soil metagenome. Its description in RNAcentral is "partial contains 5.8S ribosomal RNA, internal transcribed spacer 2, and large subunit ribosomal RNA". The stretch from base 1 to 120 matches the Rfam family "5.8S ribosomal RNA", at positions 35 to 154 of the family's 154-position model. The record is from RNAcentral.
GAUGAAGAACGCAGCGAAAUGCGAUACUUGGUGUGAAUUGCAGAAUCCCGUGAACCAUCGAGUCUUUGAACGCAAGUUGCGCCCGAAGCCUCGGCUAAGGGCACGUCUGCCUGCGCGUCACGCAUCGCGUCUCCCCCAAACCGCCAAGGCGGAGGGGAAGGAAGAUGGCUUCCCGUGCCUCACCCGGGCGCGGUUGGCCUAAAUUUGGAGCCCGCGGCACUUAGCUCUCGCGGCGAUAGGUGGUGAACAAGGCCUUGGCCGUGCAAACAACCCGCUGCGAAGCUCUAUGUCACGUGCGCUCGUCGGACCCUUUGAAGUUGCCUUUGGUGACUUAAAACCUUUGCGACCCCAGGUCAGGCGGGGCUACCCGCUGAAUUUAAGCAUAUCAAUAAGCGGAGGA